ACGACCCAAUUUAGGAUCAUGACCGGCACUUAGGAGCAAGUGCCCCCAAGUAAGCCUCAUUGGUAUUUUACAGAAAAUCGAACAUAGUUUUCCCUGUUUUAGGACUAUCCAAAAGUUUUCCUGCCUCAUAAACAAAUAACAACCAACCAAUAUUUACCUAAAUAAGUCACAAUCUUCAUCAACUAACCAAAAAUAAGUUUUCACCAACAUUACAAAACUUAUCAACAUAAUAAUACUAAACUCAUCUAAAAAAUAUUAAAAAAAUACAAUACUAGGAACUAAUCCAAUAUAACGAAUGAAUACCCAUAACACUAAUAAAAAUGACUAUGGAGCGACUCUAAGAGUUUAAAAGCAAAGACAACAAAUAAAUAAACUCUCCGCCCAUGCGAAUAAGUGCGGGGCUCACCAGGAACUAUUAACUCGUAUACUCUAAUUAGCGAAAUCCUCACACGCGUCAACUCCUAUCUCUGUAAAAAAAUAGCAGGGAGUGAGUCACUAGCUCAGUGAGUAAUAACACUUAACCACAACCGUUUUUUAUGGGGACAAGUCAGAAAACAUGCAUGUAUAAUAAUCAGAAAAUAUUAUGAAAUAAAUGCCCUUUUUCAGAAUCGGUAACAACAAUCAAUCUUGUCUGUUUUCAUGUAAGCAGGAAUCAAUUAACAAUUCAGUAAUAAACUCUGUAAACAUUGUCAUAUCAAUAUGUUUGGGAGGUUUCCAAGAAAGGAUCAUUUAAUCUGUAUCUCUGUGUGGACCCCUUUAUAAAAGGAGUCAAAUAUAACUGUAGGUCCCUACUCGAAGGAAAACGAUAACUGUAUACUAGUUCUACCUUCCCACUAGCGAGGGGUAUAACUGUAAUCGGUAAUCUGUAAAUACAAGGUGCACCAGGUCUAACGAACCGACCGUUAGCUAUGGGAUCCUUCAAAAUCUCCUCCCAUUUAUAUUUUUCUUUGUAAACAGUAAAUAUUCACAGGAAAGCAUUUUCAAAAUGGUACGGGGCAUUUCAAUUCUUAUCAAAUCAUGUAAUCCAAAUUUCGAUAACGGUAAUCAUAUCUCAAGUGAUAGUAAAAUAUGUCUAGUAAUAGUGAGAACCUUUUAAAUAACUGUAAACAUCUCAAGCAAACUAUUCAGUACCAUAUCAAGUAAAUGACUUGUCCCACAUGCAAUUUCAAACACUCGGUAACACAUUUUAUUUUUAAAAUAUAGUAUAAACCAUGCAGGUUAUGAAAACAUAAAUUACGGUAAGAUUACUACUCACAGUACUCGUGUCGAAAUACCAAACUCGUCAUCUCGAGCGAUCUGUACGACUUUAUUCAAUCAAUCUAUAAUCACGUCAACAUUGAACUCAUGUUAUUUUCUUUGCUUAGGCUAAUUCUUAGUUAAUUUAGAAUACCUAACCCUCGAGGUUUCAUAUUUGACUCUUAAUUUACCGAAUCAUAGUUACCUGUGCUAUGAGUAAUUUAAAUUAGUCCAAAAACGUCUUUAAAAAAGGCAUUUAUGUAGUUUAAUCCAUGUACUAUUCAAUUUCUUUAAUCAUGUGUAUAAGUUAAAACUUAAAUAAAAUUAUUGUCUAUAAUAUCUUUUUUUUUUGGUACUUAUAUUUUCAAUACCUGAUGGAAUCCCAUGAACAUAUAAAUCGGGAUUUAAAGAAAUCCUAGAAACUGAAGAAGAAUCAAAGAAAGAGAAAAAUUAACCUUUUUGUGUAGGAAUCAACAAUGAAGCUUGAUAAUCUUUCUUACUUCUUCCUUCUUGAAAUUUACUAAUAAAAGCUUCUCUUUUCUCAAGCAUUGCUGCCCGUGAAUUUCCCCUGCGUUAGAGUUCUUUUAUUAUCCAAAGCUUUUUUUCUUUUCUUUUGUUAUUUUCCUGCCGCGAGCCUUCGCCCCUUCCCUUAAUCCCUUUCUUUUUU
Molecule: long non-coding RNA, 1903 nt
Filed under: Nicotiana tabacum (common tobacco)
Lineage: Eukaryota; Viridiplantae; Streptophyta; Magnoliopsida; Solanales; Solanaceae
Description: long non-coding RNA (NTAB_LNC014479)
Source: RNAcentral